RNAcentral lists this ribosomal RNA (465 nucleotides) under Vreelandella stevensii. RNAcentral describes it as "partial 16S ribosomal RNA". It matches the Rfam family "Bacterial small subunit ribosomal RNA", at positions 338 to 795 of the family's 1533-position model. Lineage: Bacteria; Pseudomonadati; Pseudomonadota; Gammaproteobacteria; Oceanospirillales; Halomonadaceae. The record is from RNAcentral.
CCUACGGGCGGCAGCAGUGGGGAAUAUUGGACAAUGGGCGAAAGCCUGAUCCAGCCAUGCCGCGUGUGUGAAGAAGGCCUUCGGGUUGUAAAGCACUUUCAGUGGGGAAGAAAGCCUUGGGGCUAAUACCCUCGAGGAAGGACAUCACCCACAGAAGAAGCACCGGCUAACUCCGUGCCAGCAGCCGCGGUAAUACGGUGGGUGCGAGCGUUAAUCGGAAUUACUGGGCGUAAAGCGCGCGUAGGCGGUCUGAUAAGCCGGUUGUGAAAGCCCCGGGCUCAACCUGGGAACGGCAUCCGGAACUGGCAGGCUAGAGUGCAGGAGAGGAAGGUAGAAUUCCCGGUGUAGCGGUGAAAUGCGUAGAGAUCGGGAGGAAUACCAGUGGCGAAGGCGGCCUUCUGGACUGACACUGACGCUGAGGUGCGAAAGCGUGGGUAGCAAACAGGAUUAGAUACCCCAGUAGUC